Long non-coding RNA from Rhinichthys klamathensis goyatoka, 838 nucleotides. RefSeq lists it as uncharacterized. The transcript is spliced from 2 exons. The record is from RefSeq and is a predicted model, not a curated record. NCBI's taxonomy places the organism in Eukaryota, Metazoa, Chordata, Actinopteri, Cypriniformes, Leuciscidae.
GUGUUUGUGUGUGUGUGUGUGUGUGUGUGUGAUGUCCAGCCGGAUCGGAGUGUGUAACGCGGAUUGGAGUGUGUGUGUGUGUGUGUGAUGUCCAGCCGGAUCAGACUGUGUAACGCAGAUUGGAGUGUGUGUGUGUGUGUGUGUGUGUGUGAGAUGUCCAGCAGGAUCGGAGUGUGUAACGCGGAUUGGAGUGUGUGUGUGUGUGUGUGUGUGAUGUCCAGCCGGAUCGGAGUGUGUAACGCGGAUUGGAGUGUGUGUGUGUGUGUGUGAUGUCCAGCCGGAUCGGAGUGUGUAACGCGGAUUGGAGUGUGUGUGUGUGUGUGUGUGUGAUGUCCAGCAGGAUCGGAGUGUGUAAUGCGGAUUGGAGUGUGUGUGUGUGUGUCAUGUCCAGCCGGAUCGGAGUGUGUAACGCGGAUUGGAGUGUGUGUGUGUGUGAUGUCCAGCCGGAUCGGAGUGUGUAACGCGGAUUGGAGUGUGUGUGUGUGUGAUGUCCUGCCGGAUCGGAGUGUGUAACGCGGAUUGGAGUGUGUGUGAUUGUGUGUGUGUGUGUGAUGUCCAGCCGGAUCGGAGUGUGUAACGCGGAUUGGAGUGUGUGUGUGUGUGUGAUGUCCAGCCGGAUCGGAGUGUGUAACGCGGCUCACGAUACAGUUAAACGCUGCCAAUAGAACAUCACAACUGAGGUUUCAGUUCGUAAAGACCUUAUAUGUGUUUUUGUAAAGAAAACCUUCAAAUAUAAAAAGCAUAUUUUUGAUAUUUUAUAAAAUGAUUUUAAAGAUGUCACACAGUAUAUGAUGGAAAAUGUAUUUAUGUACCAAAUAAAAACAUGAAGCGAUCUGCA